Molecule: long non-coding RNA, 618 nt
Organism: Sinocyclocheilus rhinocerous
Lineage: Eukaryota; Metazoa; Chordata; Actinopteri; Cypriniformes; Cyprinidae
Exons: 3
Source: RefSeq, a predicted model, not a curated record
CUCGCAGGUUUUCAAGAAUCUGAAGCUGUUCAUAAAGCAUAAGGAUCCGGAAGAUGAUUUAUUUAUUUGAUCACAGUGGGUUUGUGACUGCAGGGCAGUGCAGCGGUUUGAGCGGCGAGGUCGAGCUUUAAAGGACGAGGCGGUCAGAAAUAAUCAGAAACAGCAGAGUGAUGACCAGUCGUUUAGACUCCAGCAUCAGCGGGUCGCAGAUCCAGAAGAAAAAGGAACAAAUUGAAGAGGCCAAAAAAGAGCUGAAGGAAGUGAAGAAAGCGCAUAAAGACGCUCCGUCUGACAAAUCCAAGAAGUAAGGAGUCUUUUAAAUGCUCCUGCACUCAAGGUUAGAGCUGAUGAUCCUCUGCCAGCAGCGUUUGUGCCGUAAAAGCAUGAAAUAUUCAGACCGCUCAACAGCCAAAAGAAACAAACACUGCUGCUGUUCAUCAGCAGUCUGUUUGUGCCUGAAGACAUUCACAUUAAAUCAUUACAGUUACUGUUUGUUGAUGGAAAAUACAUUGCAGUGGGUCAGUUGGAUUGCAUUGCAUCAGUGUUUGCCAAAUGUUAUUAUUACAGUCUGAAAUAAUGUAAAUGGAACAUCAUGAACACAAUAAACGUAUUUUAGUU